RNAcentral lists this ribosomal RNA (450 nucleotides) under uncultured bacterium. RNAcentral describes it as "bacterial SSU rRNA". It matches the Rfam family "Bacterial small subunit ribosomal RNA", at positions 354 to 796 of the family's 1533-position model. The record is from RNAcentral.
GUGGGGAAUUUUGGACAAUGGGCGCAAGCCUGAUCCAGCAAUGCCGCGUGCAGGAAGAAGGCCUUCGGGUUGUAAACUGCUUUUGUACGGAACGAAACGGUCUGGGUUAAUACCCUGGGCUAAUGACGGUACCGUAAGAAUAAGCACCGGCUAACUACGUGCCAGCAGCCGCGGUAAUACGUAGGGUGCAAGCGUUAAUCGGAAUUACUGGGCGUAAAGCGUGCGCAGGCGGUUAUGUAAGACAGAGGUGAAAUCCCCGGGCUCAACCUGGGAACUGCCUUUGUGACUGCAUAGCUAGAGUGCGGCAGAGGGGGAUGGAAUUCCGCGUGUAGCAGUGAAAUGCGUAGAUAUGCGGAGGAACACCGAUGGCGAAGGCAAUCCCCUGGGCCUGCACUGACGCUCAUGCACGAAAGCGUGGGGAGCAAACAGGAUUAGAAACCCCAGUAGUCC